This 76-nucleotide transfer RNA is filed under the name Felis catus (domestic cat). It matches the Rfam family "tRNA". From Rfam's summary of the family: Transfer RNA (tRNA) molecules are approximately 80 nucleotides in length. Their secondary structure includes four short double-helical elements and three loops (D, anti-codon, and T loops). Lineage: Eukaryota; Metazoa; Chordata; Mammalia; Carnivora; Felidae. The record is from Rfam by way of RNAcentral.
GCCUGGGUGGCUCAGUUGGUUGAGCACUUGACUUCAAUGAUCUCCCAAUCCGUGGGUUCGAACCCCGCGUCAGGCU